AGACAACAAAAUGUUUAAUAUUAUUAUUUUGUCACCUUAGGUCGAUCGGUAUCUCACAUUUUUAAUUUAUUAAGAAUUUCUUUUCCUAAGUUUUUCUAGGUCACACCCAUUAUUUUUCCUGGGCCAUUAGCUCAGGUGGUUAGAGCGCACCCCUGAUAAGGGUGAGGUCCCUGGUUCAAGUCCAGGAUGGCCCAUAUCUCUAUGUUGGGGGUAUAGCUCAGUUGGUAGAGCGCCUGCUUUGCAAGCAGGAUGUCAGCGGUUCGAGUCCGCUUACCUCCACUGAUUACCACCUCUUCCAUAACCGGUAGAAAGGAAAUGUUUUGAGGUGUGAUCAAAUUCUGAAAGAAUCUAGCUUCCUAAUGAAAUCAUUAAGAUGCUGGAUUCAUUGAAUUAAUUUCAUUGUUUUCAGAGAACCUUGACAACUGCAUAGAUUAUUUUUAAAGACAAUAAGCAUCUUUAAUGAUGCAGAUUUAUUAUUUGUGCGAAUGCAUUAAUAACAAUUCUAUUAAGCUGAUGCUUCAAUUUUGAAGUUAUU
RNAcentral lists this transfer RNA (535 nucleotides) under uncultured cyanobacterium. RNAcentral's name for it is "partial 16S-23S intergenic spacer". The stretch from base 207 to 279 matches the Rfam family "tRNA". Lineage: Bacteria; Bacillati; Cyanobacteriota. The record is from RNAcentral.